RNAcentral lists this ribosomal RNA (2035 nucleotides) under marine metagenome. Its description in RNAcentral is "bacterial LSU rRNA". It matches the Rfam family "Bacterial large subunit ribosomal RNA", at positions 911 to 2925 of the family's 2925-position model. The record is from RNAcentral.
UGUUAAGGCUAGGGGGUCAUCCCGACUUACCAACCCUUUGCAAACUCCGAAUACCAAUGAGUACUACUCGGGAGACAGACGGCGGGUGCUAACGUCCGUCGUCAAAAGGGAAACAACCCAGACCGUCAGCUAAGGUCCCAAAGUGUAUGUUAAGUGGGAAACGAUGUGGGAAGGCUUAGACAGCUAGGAUGUUGGCUUAGAAGCAGCCAUCAUUUAAAGAAAGCGUAAUAGCUCACUAGUCGAGUCGGCCUGCGCGGAAGAUUUAACGGGGCUAAACAUACCACCGAAGCUACGGGUUUGCAGUUUACUGCAAGCGGUAGAGGAGCGUUCUGUAAGCGGUUGAAGGUGAAGGGGUAACCCACACUGGACGUAUCAGAAGUGCGAAUGCUGACAUGAGUAACGAUAAAGGGGGUGAAAAACCCCCUCGCCGAAAGACCAAGGGUUCCUGUCCAACGUUAAUCGGGGCAGGGUGAGUCGACCCCUAAGGUGAGGCCGAAAGGCGUAAUCGAUGGAAAACAGAUUAAUAUUUCUGUACCUCUGCUAACUGCGAUGGAGAGACGGAGAAGGCUAGGCUAGCGCGGCGUUGGUAGUCCGCGUUUAAGGUAGUAGGCGGUGUUCUUAGGCAAAUCCGGGAACACAUUACGCUGAGAGCUGAUGACGAGUCACUAAGGUGAUGAAGUAGUUGAUGCCAUGCUUCCAGGAAAAUCUUCUAAGCUUCAGGUUAGUAGGGAUCGUACCCCAAACCGACACAGGUGGUCGGGUAGAGAAUACCAAGGCGCUUGAGAGAACUCGGCUGAAGGAACUAGGCAAAAUGGUACCGUAACUUCGGGAGAAGGUACGCUGCUGUUGGUGAUGGGACUUGCUCCCUAAGCUGACGGCAGUCGCAGAUACCAGGUGGCUGCAACUGUUUAUCAAAAACACAGCACUGUGCAAAAUCGCAAGAUGACGUAUACGGUGUGACGCCUGCCCGGUGCUUGAAGGUUAAUUGAUUGGGUUAUCGCAAGAGAAGCUCAUGAUCGAAGCCCAAGUAAACGGCGGCCGUAACUAUAACGGUCCUAAGGUAGCGAAAUUCCUUGUCGGGUAAGUUCCGACCUGCACGAAUGGCGUAAUGAUGGCCACGCUGUCUCCAGCCGAGACUCAGUGAAGUUGAAAUUGCGGUGAAGAUGCCGUAUACCCGCGGCUAGACGGAAAGACCCCGUGAACCUUUACUAUAGCUUGGCACUGAACAUUGAACCUACAUGUGUAGGAUAGGUGGGAGACUUUGAAGCAUGAACGCUAGUUUGUGUGGAGUCGUCCUUGAAAUACCACCCUUGUAGUUUUGAUGUUCUAACUCUGACCCCUUAUCGGGGUUGAGGACAGUGCCUGGUGGGUAGUUUGACUGGGGCGGUCUCCUCCCAAAGAGUAACGGAGGAGCACGAAGGUUGGCUAAGUACGGUCGGACAUCGUACGGUUAGUGCAAUGGCAUAAGCCAGCUUAACUGCGAGACAUACACGUCGAGCAGGUACGAAAGUAGGUCAUAGUGAUCCGGUGGUUCUGAAUGGAAGGGCCAUCGCUCAACGGAUAAAAGGUACUCCGGGGAUAACAGGCUGAUACCGCCCAAGAGUUCAUAUCGACGGCGGUGUUUGGCACCUCGAUGUCGGCUCAUCACAUCCUGGGGCUGAAGUCGGUCCCAAGGGUAUGGCUGUUCGCCAUUUAAAGUGGUACGCGAGCUGGGUUUAGAACGUCGUGAGACAGUUCGGUCCCUAUCUGCCGUGGGCGUUUGAGAAUUGAGAGGGGUUGCUCCUAGUACGAGAGGACCGGAGUGAACGAACCGCUGGUGUUCGGGUUGUCAUGCCAAUGGCACUGCCCGGUAGCUACGUUCGGAAUCGAUAAGCGCUGAAAGCAUCUAAGCGCGAAGCGAGCCUCGAGAUGAGUUCUCACUAGAGCUAUAAGCUCUCUGAAGGGCCGUUGGAGACUACAACGUUGAUAGGUUGGGUGUGGAAGCGCUGUGAGGCGUUAAGCUAACCAAUACUAAUUACCCGUGAGGCUUAACCAU